CUGCCCCUUCCUAUUUAUAGGUGAUUCUUGGUUAUCUGGGAAGGUGCAACAUCAACGAAUCAUAAAUAUGGAAUGGGAGGGAUCUGGAAGAUUUUCUAAUUUGAGUAUAGUAUUGUACUCACAGACGUUAAGGAAUUAGUCCCAUGGUGACCCAGAUAGUUAGUGGCAAAUUAGAGUAGGCCUUGGAUCUCCUGAUUCUUAUAUGAAUUCUUCUGCAUCUUUUUUAGUCCUAUAACAAAUCUCCCACCAGUACUGGUAACAUAAAGUCACUGUGUUUGGUUGAAGGUUUCAUACAUUUUGUUUUUUCCUUCACCCCCUGCCUACAAUUCUCCUACUAGGCCUGUUAUUUGAUGAAGAUGAUAUAAAUAGAAGCAGAGCAGCACAUAGUGUGACCACGAAAGGCCAAAGAGCACAUACUGGAGACCUGAAUGUCAACCAAACUGCAUAAUCCCUGUUUAUCUUCAUUGUAGAAAUUGCCAUAACCAUAGUAUUUGUUUUACUCUGAUGAUCCCAUGGAGUCUCUGCUAUAAGCUACAAGGAAGAUUUUGUGAGUUCAGCCAAGAACGAGAGCUUCGGAGCCUUCAGGAAAAGGCUUGUACUGCAACCUGUUGACUUAUCAAAGCUGAUCUGAUAUUGAUUAGAGCAGGGAUCAGCAAAGGAUGGCCUGCUUCCCCGGAAAGACACUGCCUGUUUUUGUAAAUGUUUUAUUGAAGCACAACAUGUCCACUUACAUUUGUAUUGUCUUUUGUGACUUUUCUUUUGCUAAAAUGGCAGAGCUCAGUAGUUGUGACAGAGAGAAUCUGGCCUGCAAAUUAUUAUUUUUUCUUUUUCUCUUGCCCAUGCUGCAGUGCAGUCACAGCUCACUGCAGCCUUGAACUCCUGGUCUCAAGAGAUCCUCCUGCCUCAGCCUUCUGAGUAGCCAGGAUUGUAGGCACAUGCCAUCAUGCUCAGCUAAUUUUUUAAUUUUUUGUAGAGACUAAAUCUUGCUUUGUUGUCCAGGCUAGUCUUGAACUCCUGGGCUCAAGGUGCUCUCCCACUUCAGCCUCCCAAAGCACCAUUAUUACAGAUGUGAGCCAUUGCUCCUGGCCUGGCCUGCAAAUUCUAAAAUAGUUACUCUCUGAGAUUUUACAGAGAUAAUUUGCUCUCAGAUUCUACCAGUGGAUGGGGCUGGGUUUCUCGUAUUAUUUUAGGUUGAAAACUAGACAGCUUUGUGAAACUGGUAACACAAGAUUCAGCAGCACAAGAAUUAAUU
RNAcentral lists this long non-coding RNA (1252 nucleotides) under Homo sapiens (human). RNAcentral's name for it is "HSALNT0271059". Lineage: Eukaryota; Metazoa; Chordata; Mammalia; Primates; Hominidae. The record is from RNAcentral.